AGCUAAACCAUUGCCACUUUUAUCCCUUUUGUGCCGCGAGCUCUUACCUACGCUCUUGUUGGCUGGAGGCUUUCGGGCAGGGAAACGGGUAAACGGACGCGCGCAGGCAAGGCAGGCGCGGUGGACAGGGGGCUGGGCCGGGCAGGGGCUGUGCCGACCCUGCUUCUGGGUGGGAGCGGCCUGUCUUCUCUCCGAGGGUCUGAGAGCACCCGCACCCACCUUCCUCCCCUAGGGCAUUACGGCGUAGGGGAAGGGCGUCCGGAAUGGGAGCGCGAGAUCCACCGCCUGCAGGUACACAGUUGGCCUGGCCCAGUGCUGCGCGUCCGAACUGCACCCAAGGGGCAACACCCACACCUGCCAAGCCCGCAACACCUGUGGCAGCACCUUGCGCUAGGAGCUUCAGAAAAAGCGCAACAGGAAAGGUUCCCAACCCCCCAGCAACGUCGCCGAGAACCUACUGCACGAGGCCACUCCAUAGCCCAUGUUUCCUGUACUGGGGGGUCUGGCAGCACUGCCUAGGGUCUGUUUAAGCUCUUGGCCUUCACAGAGAGCCAGGCACCCUGAAUGCAGAUCGUUCUACCCAGGGGACCAGAUGGUGCCAGGGGAGGAAAGGCUGUCACAGGGCCUUGCAGUCAGGUGGACAAAUAGCAGCUGUGGACACAAACAUCUUCUGCUCAUCCGAGUGAAGAUUUGGGCUAUAAGGAAACUUGCUGCUGAGUCUUCUUGGCCUGGGCUCCGCCAUGGCUAGUGGCUCCCCUGAUGGUCGGUGGAAGGACUGAGAAAACCGAUUCCACCAAAGGUCUAUUUCUCAUAUUUUAUCUUGUCUAUCACGAUGAGAGGAGACAUUCUGAGGCCACCUACUCUAAAAGGAGAAUGGCAUCUUACCGAGUAAGAAUGAGGACUGCAAGAGGAGGGGGCACAAGAAGCCUGAGAGGAAAAAAAGCAGUGAGACAUCUUCAGUCUUCCAGCCAGGCAUGGGAAUGGUCCUCCCCAACCCCUGCUCUGAGUUGCUCACCUCCAGCAGUCCUUCCCAGAUUGAACACAAGCGAGCAGCUGACAGCACCUUGGAACCCUGUGUGGACUUGCUCACUCCCGCAGGGAACAGGAGACUUCUCUGCUCCUCUGCUGUCUCGGUAACUUACUGUGAAUGUGGGCAGAAGGAUGGCAUUUUCAGGAUGGGAGCAAAGAACAUUUCACGGAGUAUGCAUUGGAUUUGAGCUUGCCCUUGAGGAUCUGGACAAGAGGAAAAGGUAAGUUGCAUGGCAGCAACGGGGAGGGAUGUGGCACAGUCUGGGAGUG
RNAcentral lists this long non-coding RNA (1299 nucleotides) under Rhinopithecus bieti (black snub-nosed monkey). RNAcentral describes it as "lncRNA (ENSRBIG00000045592.1)". Lineage: Eukaryota; Metazoa; Chordata; Mammalia; Primates; Cercopithecidae. The record is from RNAcentral.